UGGAAGGCUCUGAGGUGGAGAAAUGACAGCC
This 31-nucleotide non-coding RNA is filed under the name Homo sapiens (human). Lineage: Eukaryota; Metazoa; Chordata; Mammalia; Primates; Hominidae. The record is from RNAcentral.